GACGAACGCUGGCGGCGUGCUUAACACAUGCAAGUCGAACGGAAAGGCCCUGCUUUUGUGGGGUGCUCGAGUGGCGAACGGGUGAGUAACACGUGAGUAACCUGCCCUUGACUUUGGGAUAACUUCAGGAAACUGGGGCUAAUACCGGAUAGGAGCUCCUGCUGCAUGGUGGGGGUUGGAAAGUUUCGGCGGUUGGGGAUGGACUCGCGGCUUAUCAGCUUGUUGGUGGGGUAGUGGCUUACCAAGGCUUUGACGGGUAGCCGGCCUGAGAGGGUGACCGGCCACAUUGGGACUGAGAUACGGCCCAGACUCCUACGGGAGGCAGCAGUGGGGAAUAUUGCACAAUGGGCGGAAGCCUGAUGCAGCAACGCCGCGUGCGGGAUGACGGCCUUCGGGUUGUAAACCGCUUUCGCCUGUGACGAAGCGUGAGUGACGGUAAUGGGUAAAGAAGCACCGGCUAACUACGUGCCAGCAGCCGCGGUGAUACGUAGGGUGCGAGCGUUGUCCGGAUUUAUUGGGCGUAAAGGGCUCGUAGGUGGUUGAUCGCGUCGGAAGUGUAAUCUUGGGGCUUAACCCUGAGCGUGCUUUCGAUACGGGUUGACUUGAGGAAGGUAGGGGAGAAUGGAAUUCCUGGUGGAGCGGUGGAAUGCGCAGAUAUCAGGAGGAACACCAGUGGCGAAGGCGGUUCUCUGGGCCUUUCCUGACGCUGAGGAGCGAAAGCGUGGGGAGCGAACAGGCUUAGAUACCCUGGUAGUCCACGCUGUAAACGGUGGGUACUGGGUGUGGGGUCCAUUCCACGGGUUCCGUGCCGUAGCUAACGCUUUAAGUACCCCGCCUGGGGAGUACGGCCGCAAGGCUAAAACUCAAAGGAAUUGACGGGGCCCCGCACAAGCGGCGGAGCAUGCGGAUUAAUUCGAUGCAACGCGUAGAACCUUACCUGGGUUUGAUAUGGAUCGGGAGCGCUCAGAGAUGGGUGUGCCUCUUUUGGGGUCGGUUCACAGGUGGUGCAUGGCUGUCGUCAGCUCGUGUCGUGAGAUGUUGGGUUAAGUCCCGCAACGAGCGCAACCCUUGUUCACUGUUGCCAGCACGUUAUGGUGGGGACUCAGUGGAGACCGCCGGGGUCAACUCGGAGGAAGGUGGGGAUGACGUCAAGUCAUCAUGCCCCUUAUGUCCAGGGCUUCACGCAUGCUACAAUGGCUGGUACAGAGAGUGGCGAGCCUGUGAGGGUGAGCGAAUCUCGGAAAGCCGGUCUCAGUUCGGAUUGGGGUCUGCAACUCGACCUCAUGAAGUCGGAGUCGCUAGUAAUCGCAGAUCAGCAACGCUGCGGUGAAUACGUUCCCGGG
RNAcentral lists this ribosomal RNA (1343 nucleotides) under uncultured bacterium. RNAcentral describes it as "16S ribosomal RNA". It matches the Rfam family "Bacterial small subunit ribosomal RNA", at positions 28 to 1378 of the family's 1533-position model. The record is from RNAcentral.